UGAUGACUGGGAUUUCUUUCUCUCUAGGUUAAGGAGGCAUGUGUUCCCCCAACCUGAUAUCUGUGUUAUUUCAGAUCGGGGCACCGGUAUACUAGCUGCAUUUGAUCGAGAGGGAAACUUGUGGCAGCGCACACACCAUAGAUAUUGCCUAAGACACGUUGCUUCAAACUACUACAGGCAAUAUCCAUUUAAGAGUGAACGACGACAAUUGACCAACAUGGGUAUUUAGUCUAUAACUGUAUUUAGUCUAUAACUGUAUUAUUAUCUCGUUGGGGACGGUGAUUGCAUGGCCGCUG
RNAcentral lists this long non-coding RNA (296 nucleotides) under Gossypium barbadense (sea-island cotton). Its description in RNAcentral is "long non-coding RNA (GBAR_LNC014138)". The record is from RNAcentral. Lineage: Eukaryota; Viridiplantae; Streptophyta; Magnoliopsida; Malvales; Malvaceae.